RNAcentral lists this ribosomal RNA (690 nucleotides) under uncultured Acidobacteriota bacterium. RNAcentral's name for it is "bacterial SSU rRNA". It matches the Rfam family "Bacterial small subunit ribosomal RNA", at positions 15 to 736 of the family's 1533-position model. Lineage: Bacteria; Pseudomonadati; Acidobacteriota. The record is from RNAcentral.
GAUCCUGGCUCAGAAUCAACGCUGGCGGCGCGCUUAACACAUGCAAGUCGAGCGAGAAAAGGGGGCAACCCCUGAGUACAGCGGCGUACGGGUGAGUAACACGUGGAUCAUCUACCUUUUAGUGGGGAAUAACCCUGGGAAACCGGGGCUAAUACCGCAUAAGCCUGUAAAGGGAAAGCAGCAAUGCGCUGGAAGAGGAGUCCGCGGCCGAUUAGCUAGUUGGUGAGGUAACGGCCCACCAAGGCGACGAUCGGUAGCCGGCCUGAGAGGGCACACGGCCACACUGGCACUGAAACACGGGCCAGACUCCUACGGGAGGCAGCAGUGGGGAAUCUUGCACAAUGGAGGAAACUCUGAUGCAGCGACGCCGCGUGAGCGAUGAAGCCCUUCGGGGUGUAAAGCUCUUUCGGCAGGAACGAUAAUGACGGUACCUGAAGAAGAAGCUGCGGCUAACUACGUGCCAGCAGCCGCGGUAAUACGUAGGCAGCAAGCGUUGUUCGGAAUUACUGGGCGUAAAGAGUGUGUAGGCGGUGCUCUAAGUUCGGUGUGAAAUCUCCCGGCUCAACUGGGAGGGUGCGCCGGAAACUGGAAUGCUUGAGCGUGGGAGAGGAAAGCGGAAUUCCUGGUGUAGCGGUGAAAUGCGUAGAUAUCAGGAGGAAACACCUGCGGUGUAGACGGCUUUCUGGACCA